Molecule: ribosomal RNA, 749 nt
Filed under: Lactiplantibacillus plantarum
Lineage: Bacteria; Bacillati; Bacillota; Bacilli; Lactobacillales; Lactobacillaceae
Description: bacterial SSU rRNA
Rfam family: Bacterial small subunit ribosomal RNA
Source: RNAcentral
GGACGAACGCUGGCGGCGUGCCUAAUACAUGCAAGUCGAACGAACUCUGGUAUUGAUUGGUGCUUGCAUCAUGAUUUACAUUUGAGUGAGUGGCGAACUGGUGAGUAACACGUGGGAAACCUGCCCAGAAGCGGGGGAUAACACCUGGAAACAGAUGCUAAUACCGCAUAACAACUUGGACCGCAUGGUCCGAGRUUGAAAGAUGGCUUCGGCUAUCACUUUUGGAUGGUCCCGCGGCGUAUUAGCUAGAUGGUGNGGUAACGGCUCACCAUGGCAAUGAUACGUAGCCGACCUGAGAGGGUAAUCGGCCACAUUGGGACUGAGACACGGCCCAAACUCCUACGGGAGGCAGCAGUAGGGAAUCUUCCACAAUGGACGAAAGUCUGAUGGAGCAACGCCGCGUGAGUGAAGAAGGGUUUCGGCUCGUAAAACUCUGUUGUUAAAGAAGAACAUAUCUGAGAGUAACUGUUCAGGUAUUGACGGUAUUUAACCAGAAAGCCACGGCUAACUACGUGCCAGCAGCCGCGGUAAUACGUAGGUGGCAAGCGUUGUCCGGAUUUAUUGGGCGUAAAGCGAGCGCAGGCGGUUUUUUAAGUCUGAUGUGAAAGCCUUCGGCURAACCGAAGAAGUGCAUCGGAAACUGGGAAACUUGAGUGCAGAAGAGGACAGUGGAACUCCAUGUGUAGCGGUGAAAUGCGUAGAUAUAUGGAAGAACACCAGUGGCGAAGGCGGCUGUCUGGUCUGUAACU